RNAcentral lists this ribosomal RNA (515 nucleotides) under uncultured bacterium. RNAcentral describes it as "partial 16S ribosomal RNA". It matches the Rfam family "Bacterial small subunit ribosomal RNA", at positions 28 to 523 of the family's 1533-position model. The record is from RNAcentral.
GAUGAACGCUGGCGGCGUGCCUAAUACAUGCAAGUCGAGCGAAUGGAUUAAGAGCUUGCUCUUAUGAAGUUAGCGGCGGACGGGUGAGUAACACGUGGGUAACCUGCCCAUAAGACUGGGAUAACUCCGGGAAACCGGGGCUAAUACCGGAUAACAUUUUGAACCGCAUGGUUCGAAAUUGAAAGGCGGCUUCGGCUGUCACUUAUGGAUGGACCCGCGUCGCAUUAGCUAGGUGGUGAGGUAACGGCUCACCAAGGCAACGAUGCGUAGCCGACCUGAGAGGGUGAUCGGCCACACUGGGACUGAGACACGGCCCAGACUCCUACGGGAGGCAGCAGUAGGGAAUCUUCCGCAAUGGACGAAAGCCUGACGGAGCAACGCCGCGUGAGUGAUGAAGGCUUUCGGGUCGUAAAACUCUGUUGUUAGGGAAGAACAAGUGCUAGUUGAAUAAGCUGGCACCUUGACGGUACCUAACCAGAAAGCCACGGCUAACUACGUGCCAGCCGCCGCCGCGG